RNAcentral lists this transfer RNA (72 nucleotides) under Sphaerodactylus townsendi. RNAcentral describes it as "tRNA-Ala". The record is from RNAcentral. Lineage: Eukaryota; Metazoa; Chordata; Lepidosauria; Squamata; Sphaerodactylidae.
GAGGCAUGGGCUCACUGGUAGACCAUCUGCUUUGCAUGCAGAUGUUCCUAGGUUCAAACCCCAGCAUCUUCA